Parasteatoda tepidariorum (common house spider) is the source of this 409-nucleotide non-coding RNA. NCBI's taxonomy places the organism in Eukaryota, Metazoa, Arthropoda, Arachnida, Araneae, Theridiidae. The record is from RefSeq and is a predicted model, not a curated record.
UGUUUUUACUUUGUUGAUUUUUAACUGUUUUUUUCUAUGGUCAUAUUCUAAUUAUUUUUUUCUUUCAUGAAAAGUCUGGAGAUUCUGACUGAAGAGACUGAAAAUAGCCAUCAACAGAAAAGAAGUCAGGAGAUUCUGACUGGAGAGUGUGAAUGAAAACUGUUGGAUGAACUGGAAUGGCCAUCAACAGAAAAGAAGGAAAACUAGGUUCAUUCUGGAAUUGGAUGCUUAAAAAGAAGUUAUUGCACAGUUUUUAUGUAUUUGUUUGUAUUUUGAUUUGUUAUAUGGAAAUAAAAUAAUAUUCUUUUCUUAAGGUCAUGUUUUAUUUUAAAUGUUAAGCAUUUUAUUCCUGUUAAAAUUCUUGUUUUAUUUAUUUAAAAUUAUAGAAAUUGAUGUGUUAUUUACAGGU